Molecule: ribosomal RNA, 393 nt
Filed under: uncultured bacterium
Lineage: Bacteria
Description: partial 16S ribosomal RNA
Rfam family: Bacterial small subunit ribosomal RNA
Source: RNAcentral
AUACGGAGGAUCCGAGCGUUAUCCGGAUUUAUUGGGUUUAAAGGGAGCGUAGGUGGAUUGUUAAGUUAGUUGUGAAAGUCUGCGGCUCAACCGUAAAAUUGCAGUUGAAACUGGCAGUCUUGAGUACAGUAGAGGUGGGCGGAAUUCGUGGUGUAGCGGUGAAAUGCUUAGAUAUCACGAAGAACUCCGAUUGCGAAGGCAGCUCACUAGACUGUUACUGACACUGAUGCUCGAAAGUGUGGGUAUCAAACAGGAUUAGAUACCCUGGUAGUCCACACAGUAAACGAUGAAUACUCGCUGUUUGCGAUAUACAGUAAGCGGCCAAGCGAAAGCAUUAAGUAUUCCACCUGGGGAGUACGCCGGCAACGGUGAAACUCAAAUGAAUUGACGGGG